This 85-nucleotide ribosomal RNA is filed under the name Grosmannia fruticeta. RNAcentral describes it as "Leptographium fruticetum partial 5.8S ribosomal RNA". It matches the Rfam family "5.8S ribosomal RNA", at positions 72 to 154 of the family's 154-position model. From Rfam's summary of the family: 5.8S ribosomal RNA (5.8S rRNA) is a component of the large subunit of the eukaryotic ribosome. It is transcribed by RNA polymerase I as part of the 45S precursor that also contains 18S and 28S rRNA. Lineage: Eukaryota; Fungi; Ascomycota; Sordariomycetes; Ophiostomatales; Ophiostomataceae. The record is from RNAcentral.
UUGCAGAAUUCAGUGAACCAUCGAAUCUUUGAACGCACAUUGCGCCCGCCAGCAUUCUGGCGGGCAUGCCUGUCCGAGCGUCAUU